This 473-nucleotide ribosomal RNA is filed under the name uncultured bacterium. RNAcentral describes it as "partial 16S ribosomal RNA". It matches the Rfam family "Bacterial small subunit ribosomal RNA", at positions 28 to 523 of the family's 1533-position model. The record is from RNAcentral.
GACGAACGCUGGCGGCGUGCUUAACACAUGCAAGUCGAACGGUAAGGCCCUUCGGGGUACACGAGUGGCGAACGGGUGAGUAACACGUGGGUGAUCUGCCCUGCACUUCGGGAUAAGCCUGGGAAACUGGGUCUAAUACCGGAUAGGACUCCGGACUGCAUGGUCUGGGGUGGAAAGCUUUUGCGGUGUGGGAUGGGCCCGCGGCCUAUCAGCUUGUUGGUGGGGUGAUGGCCUACCAAGGCGACGACGGGUAGCCGGCCUGAGAGGGUGACCGGCCACACUGGGACUGAGAUACGGCCCAGACUCCUACGGGAGGCAGCAGUGGGGAAUAUUGCACAAUGGGCGCAAGCCUGAUGCAGCGACGCCGCGUGAGGGAUGACGGCCUUCGGGUUGUAAACUGCUCUCAUGUGCGAAGAAUUUGACUGUAACACAUGAAUAAGGAUCGGCUAACUACGUGCCAGCCGCCGCAGUAA